UACGUAGGGUGCGAGCGUUAAUCGGAAUUAUUGGGCGUAAAGCGCACGUAGGCGGCUUGGCAAGUCGGAUGUGAAAUCCCUCGGCUCAACCAAGGAAGUGCAUCCGAAACUGCUGAGCUUGAGUACUUAAGAGGAUCGCGGAAUUCCCGGUGUAGAGGUGAAAUUCGUAGAUAUCGGGAGGAACACCAGUGGCGAAGGCGGCGACCUGGGCCAAUAUUGACGCUGAGGUGCGAAAGCGUGGGGAGCAAACAGG
Molecule: ribosomal RNA, 253 nt
Filed under: uncultured bacterium
Lineage: Bacteria
Description: partial 16S ribosomal RNA
Rfam family: Bacterial small subunit ribosomal RNA
Source: RNAcentral